Schistosoma curassoni is the source of this 46-nucleotide non-coding RNA. The record is from Rfam. NCBI's taxonomy places the organism in Eukaryota, Metazoa, Platyhelminthes, Trematoda, Strigeidida, Schistosomatidae.
GCACUACUGAAGAGUCCUGUAAUGGGACGAAACAACCGUCCAGUGC